GAUUGCAGGCUGCAACUCGCCUGCAUGAAGUCGGAUUCGCUAGUAAUCGCGCAUCAGCCACGGCGCGGUGAAUACGUUCCCGGGCCUUGUACACACCGCCCGUCAAGCCAUGGAAGCCGGGAGUGCCUGAAGUGCGUGAGCGCAAGCAGCGCCCUAAGGUAAAACCGGUGACUGGGGCUAAGUCGUAACAAGGUACC
Molecule: ribosomal RNA, 197 nt
Filed under: uncultured bacterium
Lineage: Bacteria
Description: partial 16S ribosomal RNA
Rfam family: Bacterial small subunit ribosomal RNA
Source: RNAcentral